AAAAGUCUCCUGCAACGUUGGAAUUUGGGGACUGGAAAGAAUUUGAGAUUUUACCGACUCAAAUUCAGGACGAAGACCAGCAAGAAAACUCAUUACAGCUAUUUGUUCUCGUUGAGCCUGUUGGACUGUCACGUCAGGACUAAAGGGCAAUAAAACAUUAAGCUCCUCAUAAGUACGCUUAAAGUUCAUAAAAUAAGCAGUGAGAGAUUGAU
This 212-nucleotide long non-coding RNA is filed under the name Ricinus communis (castor bean). RNAcentral describes it as "long non-coding RNA (RCOM_LNC000222)". Lineage: Eukaryota; Viridiplantae; Streptophyta; Magnoliopsida; Malpighiales; Euphorbiaceae. The record is from RNAcentral.